Molecule: ribosomal RNA, 496 nt
Filed under: uncultured bacterium
Lineage: Bacteria
Description: partial 16S ribosomal RNA
Rfam family: Bacterial small subunit ribosomal RNA
Source: RNAcentral
AUGAACGCUGGCGGCGUGCCUAAUACAUGCAAGUCGAGCGAACAGACGAGGAGCUUGCUCCUCUGACGUUAGCGGCGGACGGGUGAGUAACACGUGGAUAACCUACCUAUAAGACUGGGAUAACUUCGGGAAACCGGAGCUAAUACCGGAUAAUAUAUUGAACCGCAUGGUUCAAUAGUGAAAGACGGUUUUGCUGUCACUUAUAGAUGGAUCCGCGCCGCAUUAGCUAGUUGGUAAGGUAACGGCUUACCAAGGCAACGAUGCGUAGCCGACCUGAGAGGGUGAACCGCCACACUGGAACGGAGACACGGUCCAGACUCCUACGGGAGGCAGCAGGAGGGAAUCUUCCGCCAUGGGCGAAAGCUUGACGGAGCAACGCCGGGUGAGGGAUGAAGGUCUUCGGAUCGUAAAACUCUGUUAUUAGGGAAGAACAAAUGUGUAAGUAACUAUGCACGUCUUGACGGUACCUAAUCAGAAAGCCACGGCUAACUACGUG